Molecule: ribosomal RNA, 574 nt
Filed under: Hanseniaspora uvarum
Lineage: Eukaryota; Fungi; Ascomycota; Saccharomycetes; Saccharomycodales; Saccharomycodaceae
Description: eukaryotic LSU rRNA
Rfam family: Eukaryotic large subunit ribosomal RNA
Source: RNAcentral
ACCUGGAUACUUAGUACGGCGAGUGAGCGGUAAAAGCUCAAAUUUGAAAUCUGGUACUUUCAGUGCCCGAGUUGUAAUUUGUAGAAUUUGUCUUUGAUUAGGUCCUUGUCUAUGUUCCUUGGAACAGGACGUCAUAGAGGGUGAGAAUCCCGUUUGGCGAGGAUACCUUUUCUCUGUAAGACUUUUUCGAAGAGUCGAGUUGUUUGGGAAUGCAGCUCAAAGUGGGUGGUAAAUUCCAUCUAAAGCUAAAUAUUGGCGAGAGACCGAUAGCGAACAAGUACAGUGAUGGAAAGAUGAAAAGAACUUUGAAAAGAGAGUGAAAAAGUACGUGAAAUUGUUGAAAGGGAAGGGCAUUUGAUCAGACAUGGUGUUUUUUGCAUGCACUCGCCUCUCGUGGGCUUGGGCCUCUCAAAAAUUUCACUGGGCCAACAUCAAUUCUGGCAGCAGGAUAAAUCAUUAAGAAUGUAGCUACUUCGGUAGUGUUAUAGCUUUUUGGAAUACUGUUAGCCGGGAUUGAGGACUGCGCUUCGGCAAGGAUGUUGGCAUAAUGGUUAAAUGCCGCCCGUCUUGAACC